RNAcentral lists this ribosomal RNA (311 nucleotides) under uncultured bacterium. RNAcentral describes it as "bacterial SSU rRNA". It matches the Rfam family "Bacterial small subunit ribosomal RNA", at positions 28 to 334 of the family's 1533-position model. The record is from RNAcentral.
GACGAACGCUGGCGGCGUGCCUAAUACAUGCAAGUAGAACGCUGACUACUUUAGCUUGCUAGAGUAGAAGGAGUUGCGAACGGGCGAGUAACGCGUGGGUAACCUGCCCUGUACAUAUGGAUAACAUGCUGAAAAGCAUACUAAUACAUAAUAACGUACAUUGAAGGCAUCUUCGAUGUAUCAAAGCGUUAGCGGUACAGGAUGGACCCGCGUCUGAUUAGCUAGUUGGUGGGGUAAAAGCCUACCAAGGCGACGAUCAGUAGCCGACCUGAGAGGGUGAUCGGCCACAUUGGAACUGAGACACGGUCCAA